Molecule: long non-coding RNA, 1635 nt
Filed under: Arabidopsis lyrata
Lineage: Eukaryota; Viridiplantae; Streptophyta; Magnoliopsida; Brassicales; Brassicaceae
Description: long non-coding RNA (ALYR_LNC002170)
Source: RNAcentral
UGCUGCUGCUGCGGGUGCACACAUAUCAGAUCACUGCACCAAGAGCAAAGAGAUCUUGUUAUCAGAGUUGACUUAUUCGAUUCACUCCUAGAAAAGGAAUGUGUUCUACUUUACCUCAGCAUCAUCUCCACCUGCAGCAGCUUUGGAAGAACCAUUCGUCUUAUGGGCAUCGUCUGCUGCAUAUAAAGGCAAAAUAAACAUUUGAAAUCCACAGCAAAAUAUGUAUCAUUAUGAGAUAGGGAAUCGUCUACUGGAUGCUGUUUCAACUUUCAACUAUCCAUUAUCAAGUAUUCCAUGGAUAUGCUUAAAAUGUCUUAUAUAUUCAAUGGUUUCCAAGCGAAACAACACAAAUGAAGUAAUAAUGAACACCAAAAAGGACUUUUGUAAGACAUCAAACAUCAUAGUUUAAGAGUUUGCUUAGGUCCAGAGUGAUCAUCACCUCCUCCUUCUGGGAUGUCAGAAGUCCACAAGGUCAGAUUGUCCCUGAGGAGUUGCAUAAUUAAGGUGCUGUCUUUGUAGGAUUCCUCAUUCAGAGUGUCAAGUUCUGAGAUAGCUUCAUCGAACGCCUGCUUAGCAAGGUGACAUGCCCUGAAGAGAAAAGAAAAGAAAAAGAAAAAUCUCAACUCUCCAAAACAAUGAAUCUUUUCUUUUCUUAGUAUAGCUAACAAUCUCUAAACCUUUCAGGUGCGUUCAUGAUCUCAUAGUAGAAGACAGAGUAAUUCAAAGCCAAACCCAAUCUGAUAGGAUGUGUAGGAGGGAGUUUAGCCUCAGCAGCAGUAGUAGCAAUCUGUAAAGGAAACCAACAAACAAACAAAAAGCUCAAAAGUAAAGUAACGAAAAACCAACCGAGAAUAUCCAGUGAUCAAUAACACUAUAUAUCACUAGUAGAACACCUCAUAGGCUUUCAAAGACUGAUCAGCAGCCUCUUUCCUCUCAUUCCCUGAUUUGAACUCCGCAAGAUAGCGGUAAUAGUCACCUUUCCUGCAAAAAACCAAAAAAAUCUUCAGCCACAUACAUAACUUAAAAUCUUGAGUUUAACAUCAUGUAUAGAAGCAUUAUAAACUUACAUCUUGUUGAAGAAGACAGUUGAUUCACCCUCGGAAGCCGAUGGAAUUAGAUGCUCAUCUAACACAGACAUUAUAUCAAUGCAUAUGUUUGAAAGCUCUAACUCAACCUUCUCCAUAUACUCUUUGAUCCUCUUUACAUUAACAUCAUUCCCUUUCACUGCUUCUUUCUGUUCGAUCGACGAGAAGAUCCUCCACGAAGCUCUCCGUGAACCAAUCACGUUCUUGUAUCCCACAGAGAGCAAGUUCCUCUCUUCCACCGUCAGAUCAACAUUCAAUUUCGCAACAUUUUUCAUUGAUUCCACCAUUUCUGUGAAAAAGAAAUCACAUUUCCAAUACCCAUCUUGUAAAAAUCGAGACCCUUGAAUCUAAUUCCUUGCUCAGAAGUUCCCAAUUCAAAAAAUCUCAAUCAAAUCAUUGACUUACAAAGAUCAAACCAAACCCUUCGAUGAAAUCAAAAUCCAGUAAAAUCAAACAGAGAAACGAACUAAAGAAGCUAUAAAAAAAGACCUGAUUGUGAGAAAUUCAGAGAACCCAUUCGAGAGAAGAAGAAGAAGAAGAAGAUUCCUUA